UCGAAAGCCUGUCUCAGUUCGGAUUGGAGGCUGAAACCCGCCUCCAUGAAGUUGGAUUCGCUAGUAAUCGCGCAUCAGCCAUGGCGCGGUGAAUACGUUCCCGGGCCUUGUACACACCGCCCGUCAAGCCAUGGGAGCCGGGGGUGCCUGAAGUUCGUGACCGCAAGGAGCGACCUAGGGCAAAACUGGUGACUGGGGCUAAGUCGUAACAAGGUAUC
This 218-nucleotide ribosomal RNA is filed under the name uncultured bacterium. RNAcentral describes it as "partial 16S ribosomal RNA". It matches the Rfam family "Bacterial small subunit ribosomal RNA", at positions 1275 to 1500 of the family's 1533-position model. The record is from RNAcentral.